Molecule: ribosomal RNA, 226 nt
Filed under: uncultured bacterium
Lineage: Bacteria
Description: partial 16S ribosomal RNA
Rfam family: Bacterial small subunit ribosomal RNA
Source: RNAcentral
GAUCCUGGCUCAGGAUGAACGCUAGCUACAGGCUUAACACAUGCAAGUCGAGGGGCAGCAUGGUCUUAGCUUGCUAAGGUCCGAUGGCGACCGGCGCACGGGUGAGUAACACGUAUCCAACCUGCCGUCUACUCUUGGACAGCCUUCUGAAAGGAAGAAUUAAUACAAGAUGGCAUCAUGAGUCCGCAUGUUCACAUGAUUAAGGUAUUCCGGUANCGAUGGGAUG